UACUAAGUGAUAUGCUUUGUGUCUUACUUUUGUUGAUUAUCAUUGCAACUUUGUUUCUUUUAAUAUCCAGCUUCAAGUUACCUACUAUGAAUCAUCCGAAAAUAAAGCUGUUACCCAAUAUUACAACUGACUUCCCAAAACACUUGGAAAUAAUGAAACAGAAGACUAAUGCAACCUGAAGAUGAGAGCUAAUGAUGAUACUGAUGAAAAAGAAUCAGUUAAAAAUUCUGAGGAAAUCCCAUGAAUAAGCAAGAAACAGCCAAAAGACCAGCAAGCCGGCUCUCAGAAGCAGAGAAAGCUCUACGUUAAUAAGCAACAACAACAAAAAAAAAAGAAAAAAAAAGAAAAAAAUAAAAAAAUAAAAAAAAAAGAAGAGAAAGGCACCAUCUGGCUUUGCCCUUCCCACAGAAAUGUCAGGCUUUUGACUUGCUCUGGAAGUGUCCAGAAGCCACACAUCAGGACUGGGAGACUCAGAAGUGGGAUCCUGGGGAAUGCUCUUUCAAGUGAGCAGCUUUCCAAGAAAAUCAUACCUGAAGUGUGUGCAUGUCCUGGAAGACCUUGUAAGGACUGGAAUCUGAAACCUUCUUCAUCUGGAACUUCUACAGUCUGGUUUUCCACUACAUCAGUGCAAGCAAAUUACCAAAAUGUCCAUAAAAACAACAACAAAUCCACAAUCAUGAAAGAAUGCAACAGCCGGAAAAGAGAAAGGUGA
Molecule: long non-coding RNA, 712 nt
Filed under: Coturnix japonica (Japanese quail)
Lineage: Eukaryota; Metazoa; Chordata; Aves; Galliformes; Phasianidae
Description: lncRNA (ENSCJPG00005000180.1)
Source: RNAcentral